This 879-nucleotide ribosomal RNA is filed under the name uncultured eukaryote. RNAcentral's name for it is "SSU rRNA". It matches the Rfam family "Eukaryotic small subunit ribosomal RNA", at positions 566 to 1469 of the family's 1831-position model. The record is from RNAcentral.
GCCAAGCAGCCGCGGUAAUUCCAGCUCCAAUAGCGUAUAUUAAAGUUGUUGCAGUUAAAAAGCUCGUAGUUGGAGUUCAGAUUGAGCUCGGCCGGUCGGCCUAAUUGGUCAGAACUGGUUGACUCUGUCUUGUUUGUGGAUCCCUCCGGAGUUAACUCUUCGGAUGUGGAGUCCACAUCGUUUACCUUGAAAAAAUUAGAGUGUUCAAAGCAGGCGUUUGCUUGAAUAUAUUAGCAUGGAAUAAUGGAAUAGGACGCUGGUUCUAUUUUGUUGGUUUUGAGAACCAGAGUAAUGAUUAAUAGGGACAGUUGGGGGCAUUCAUAUUUCAUUGUCAGAGGUGAAAUUCUUGGAUUUAUGAAAGAUGAACUUCUGCGAAAGCAUUUGCCAAGGAUGUUUUCAUUAAUCAAGAACGAAAGUUAGGGGAUCGAAGACGAUCAGAUACCGUCGUAGUCUUAACCAUAAACUAUGCCGACUAGGGAUUGGACGUGGUUUGUUCAUUGACCCGUUCAGCACCUUACGAGAAAUCAAAGUCUUUGGGUUCCGGGGGGAGUAUGGUCGCAAGGCUGAAACUUAAAGGAAUUGACGGAGGGGCACCACCAGGAGUGGAGCCUGCGGCUUAAUUUGACUCAACACGGGAAAACUUACCAGGUCCAGACAUAGUAAGGAUUGACAGAUUGAGAGCUCUUUCUUGAUUCUAUGGGGUGGUGGUGCAUGGCCGUUCUCAGUUGGUGGAGUGAUUUGUCUGGUUAAUUCCGAUAACGAACGAGACCUUAUCCUACUAAAUAGUUACGCCUAUACUUUUGUAUAAGCGGACAACUUCUUAGAGGGACUAUCGGUGUUCAACCGGUGGAAGUUUGAGGCAAUAACAGGUCUGUGAUG